ACGAUGGAAGAGAACUCAUUCACAAAGUAAAAUGCAUCAAAAGUUCUUUUGCAGAUUACUUACCGGAAUCCAACGUGGUUCCGACAUCGUUAACAGCUUCGCAAGUAGCAUUCUCUACUUUACUCCAUUCUCUACUUCUUCGUUUAUGUUUCUUCUUCCUCUAUAACGUUGAUUUGGGUUGUAGAGAAUGCUUAGUUUCGUAUCGAUCCCCCAAUUGCAGAAUCGAUGCUUCGGUUGCAGAGUUGAAUUCAGAUUGCAGAGAAUGUUGUGAAGGAAAUGCAGAGAAAUUUGUAGAAUUACAGAGUGAAAAAAAUGUUGUGUAGCCAUUGCAGGGUGAAGGUUCGAUCUGUUAUAUAGAGGAAGGAGAAGCUGCAACUGAAUUAGACAAGUCGGGUAUUGUUAGGGCAGGUUUAACUCUGUUAAAUUUCACAAGGUAAGUUUGUUAGUAGUUGAAAUCUAUUAGGAAAUUAUGUUAUCCUUUGGUUAGUUGGUUAGGUUGGUUUUGAUUCAGUUGGAAAAUGGUUAUAAGUUUGUUACCAAGUUUGUUAGGAGGUUGGAAUGUAAUGAAAUUUUUUUAGUGAAAUGUAAUUUGAGAGUGAAAUAUUGAUGAAAUUCACUUCCUGUUUUUUAUGAAAUACCCUGCUGUUAUGUUGGUUAAUCAGUGAAAAUUCAGUUUGUUAGUUGAUUUAAAUAAAGUUAGUUUUCUGUUUGAAUUGCAGUAGCAGUGGCAUUAACAUGUUAAUUUUGGAAUGUUAAUUAAUUAGUAAAUGUAAAAAACUGUUAAUUAGUUUGAAUGAUUAAAAUGGAUAGUUAGCAUUAGGAGGUCAACCGAUGUACAAUGUUAUGCUAGUAACACUUAACAUUUUGAGACCUUGCUGGAAAUUCAAUGGGAUAUUCCUACUGUUAUGUUUUUAACCGUGUUACCACUGUAAUUGAGUUACUUCCAAACUGUAUGUUAUGGAUGAGAUUAGUUGGGUUUUUACUACUUUGAUCCAAUGAUUGGUUCUGUCAUCAAACCCCUUUUUAGGUGAAAUAUUAUUGAAUUCUGAUAUACACUUAUGCAUGGUAGGAUAUCAUGUUCUGUUAGCCAUUGAUGGCAAGUUGUUUUAUUGGUUUGUGAAGUAGUCACGAUUAUUGGUGAAUUCUUGGAAUGUUUGUAUAGCUGAUGUUAUGUAUUGCUAGAAAGGUGUGGAUAAUGAAGUUGGUUUUGUUGGCAUUGUAUUGGUUAGUAUGUGAAUGUUAGCUAUUGGACGUGUUGAAACGUGUUUGUAAUGUUGCAGGGCUGCUUGGAUGGACUCGAAGUUGCUUGCUCAAGUUUGGAUCAGUUGCACGAUUGGAAAUUGACAUAUAACUUAGGAUUGUCAAUGGUUGAUUUUCAUGUAAAUUCUUAAAAAAUGACAUUGUAAUUCUUAAAAAAUGACACUGUAAGGUUAUGUAUGGAAAUGGUUAUGUAUUGGUUUAUGCAUUGUAUUUGGGAAACUUUGAAUGGUUUU
RNAcentral lists this long non-coding RNA (1493 nucleotides) under Lathyrus oleraceus (garden pea). Its description in RNAcentral is "Pisum sativum (pea) long non-coding RNA (PSAT_LNC003862)". The record is from RNAcentral. Lineage: Eukaryota; Viridiplantae; Streptophyta; Magnoliopsida; Fabales; Fabaceae.